This is a long non-coding RNA of Nerophis ophidion (straightnose pipefish), 413 nucleotides long. RefSeq lists it as uncharacterized. The transcript is spliced from 4 exons. The record is from RefSeq and is a predicted model, not a curated record. Lineage: Eukaryota; Metazoa; Chordata; Actinopteri; Syngnathiformes; Syngnathidae.
CAAUCGCCAUCGGUGGCGCUUGAAAAUGACGUCAGCGCGCCUUCCUAUAAAUACAGCCCUGCUCUGCGUCACAUCCUCUUUCCGCUGCUCUUCUCGCUUCGAGACUCCUCUCUUCAAGAUGAGAGCAAAGUGGAGGAAGAAGCGCAUGCGCAGGCUGAAGCGUAAAAGGCGAAAGAUGAGGCAGAGGUCAAAGUAAGCCCUCAUCCUGCUAGCCAUGGUCCCGCCCAGUUGGACUUGAUUGACGGCUGUGACUGAAGCGGUUCUUGACCACCUGCGGCUUCCUGGCGACUGCAAGCUUCAUCUGACCUGGGACUCUAAACAUCAGAGCUGUGGCUGUUUGCUUCAUGGACCAUAAGUCAUGUCAACUGUCAUGUGGUAGUGAACAAUAAAUGAACACUGUUCCAAAACUUUAA